This 455-nucleotide ribosomal RNA is filed under the name uncultured bacterium. RNAcentral's name for it is "bacterial SSU rRNA". It matches the Rfam family "Bacterial small subunit ribosomal RNA", at positions 29 to 518 of the family's 1533-position model. The record is from RNAcentral.
AAUCAACGCUGGCGGCGCGCUUAACACAUGCAAGUCGAGCGAGAAAGGGGAGCAAUCCCUGAGUACAGCGGCGUACGGGUGAGUAACACGUGGGUGAUCUACCUUCUAGUGUGGAAUAACCCUGGGAAACCGGGGCUAAUACCGCAUAAGCCUGUGAAGGGAAGGCAGCAAUGCGCUGGAAGAGGAGCCCGCGGCCGAUUAGCUAGUUGGUGAGGUAACGGCCCACCAAGGCGAUGAUCGGUAGCCGGCCUGAGAGGGCACACGGCCACACUGGCACUGAAACACGGGCCAGACUCCUACGGGAGGCAGCAGUGGGGAAUCUUGCACAAUGGAGGCAACUCUGAUGCAGCGACGCCGCGUGAGCGAUGAAGCCCUUCGGGGUGUAAAGCUCUUUCGGCAGGGACGAUAAUGACGGUACCUGAAGAAGAAGCUGCGGCUAACUACGUGCCACGCCG